RNAcentral lists this long non-coding RNA (834 nucleotides) under Physcomitrium patens. RNAcentral's name for it is "long non-coding RNA (PPAT_LNC001600)". The record is from RNAcentral. Lineage: Eukaryota; Viridiplantae; Streptophyta; Bryopsida; Funariales; Funariaceae.
UAGGGUUUGAUUUAGGAUUUAGGAUUUGUUUAGGAUUUGGUUAGAGUUUAGGAUUUGAUUUAGGAUUUAUUUAGAAUUUGGUUAGAAUUUGAUUUAGGGUUUAGGAUUUGGUUUAGGAUUUGUUUAGGAUUUGGUUUAAGAUUUUUUUAAAGUUUGAUUAGAGAUUGAUUUAGGAUUUAGGAUUUGGUUUAGGAUUUGGAUAGAAUUUGGUUUAGGGUUUGGUUAGGAUUUAGUUUAAGAUUUAGGAUUUGAUUUAGGGUUUAUUAGGAUUUGUUUAAGAUUUAAGAUUUAAUUAGUUUUGGCCUAAAGUUUGAAUGAAGUCUAAUAGAAUUUUAAGUAGAAUUAAAAUAAGAUUGAAUUGAGAUGUAUUUGAGAGAUAUUUUUGAUCAUUCUAAUAUUUCUUUAAGAUUUUUUUAUUGUUUCUUUGAAAUUUCUUUGAGAUUUCUUUGAAUUUGAUUAAAGCUUAUUUAACAUUAUUAUGGUCUAAUUAGAGUUUAGUUAGUAUUAUAUUAUAGUUAGGAUUUUUUUGUUGUAAUUUUGAUUCUACCUUCCAUAGGUAGGUGCACUAAGUAUUCUCAAGCAAGACUUCAUGUAUUAUGACAAAGUUCUUUCUAGACGUUCUUAUCUUCCACCAAAAGAAGGAGAUACAUCUUUUAAUCAAUAAAGUUCAAUUCUCUUGAAGCCCUUGCAUUUUCAUCUUUGAGAUAUAAAAUCAACACUGACUGUUGAUUCAACAUUUGUGAAACAAAUUCAAUCAAGCAUGUCCUCUGAUCCUCUUGUUUAGGAUAUUAAGGAUUCUUCUUCUAAGUCCCAUGAUACUUCUAAGUUUGAAUU